UNCUCAGACUUUGGGACCAUGGUGAUGCCC
RNAcentral lists this non-coding RNA (30 nucleotides) under Homo sapiens (human). Lineage: Eukaryota; Metazoa; Chordata; Mammalia; Primates; Hominidae. The record is from RNAcentral.